Long non-coding RNA from Pan troglodytes (chimpanzee), 939 nucleotides. RefSeq lists it as uncharacterized. Lineage: Eukaryota; Metazoa; Chordata; Mammalia; Primates; Hominidae. The record is from RefSeq and is a predicted model, not a curated record. The transcript is spliced from 2 exons.
ACACCUGAAAAGGGGUGGGCCAGCCUCUGCAUGCUGACCAUCCAGAUUCCAUGACUCCCUGUCAGCCUGAAGGAGGUGACAACCAUCUGUCUUUCCCCACCCUACCCAGAAGACCAGCUCGGCAGGGCUGGGAAGGACUUCAGACUAUAUCUUUCGCGGUCCUCUUAUCCAGGUUGGAUGUAAGGAGAAGAGCACAUCACGAUUCAGAUUAGCGGCUCAUCAAGUUGUCAAAAGCCACAUGCAGCUGGUAGCUGCCAUAUUGGACGGCACAGCUCUGUAACCUAAAACAUCUGGACAUGCACUUGGAAAAGUCAAGUUUUUAAAAAAUUGGGUUUUGGUGAAUUUGUUUUCCUACUCAUCCCAGAAUAACUGACUGAAAGAGCUGCGGCUGGGUCACCAGUCGCUGGCUGGCUAAGGGCAGAACCCAUCUGUCCCUGGCUUGUUAGACCCUUCGUAAGCCACCCACCCUCCUCAGGGAGACUGAGCCUGGAACAGACAGUGAACCCUGUUGUUCUUUUCUGGGGAGACAAAGCUGCAGGCCCUGCUACCUGCCUGACAGGGCCAUUGUGGCUAGAGGAGAAAAGGGCUUUGUCAGGACAGCAGCCGAGAAGCCUGCAGUUCAAUGGGGCCCUUUAUGUCUACACUGGCGAGAUGCUCUGAUGCCAGCCCUUUUGAGGCCCAGCCCCCUUUUAGAACAGAUGGGGAGCCUGAGGCCCAGUGAGGUUGUGAAAGUCCCUGCAGUGGAUCCUAGCCUCCUUCAUCUCGUGCCACUGCCCUAAAACAUGAGAUUCUCCUGACUCUGAAAAGGCCCAUCUUGAAGCAUAGGAUAAACUCCAUAUUGCCCUUAACCCCUGAAAAGGAGGCCCCUGCCCUGACCCUAAAAUUUAGAGGUUCCACAAAUGACAAACACAUACAAAAAUAAAUGUAUUAAAGAACAUA